This 497-nucleotide ribosomal RNA is filed under the name uncultured bacterium. Its description in RNAcentral is "partial 16S ribosomal RNA". It matches the Rfam family "Bacterial small subunit ribosomal RNA", at positions 28 to 507 of the family's 1533-position model. The record is from RNAcentral.
GAUGAACGCUGGCGGCGUGCCUAAUACAUGCAAGUCGAGCGAACGGACGAGAAGCUUGCUUCUCUGAUGUUAGCGGCGGACGGGUGAGUAACACGUGGAUAACCUACCUAUAAGACUGGGAUAACUUCGGGAAACCGGAGCUAAUACCGGAUAAUAUUUUGAACCGCAUGGUUCAAAAGUGAAAGACGGUCUUGCUGUCACUUAUAGAUGGAUCCGCGCUGCAUUAGCUAGUUGGUAAGGUAACGGCUUACCAAGGCAACGAUGCAUAGCCGACCUGAGAGGGUGAUCGGACACACUGGAACUGAGACACGGUCCAGACUCCUACGGGAGGCAGCAGUAGGGAAUCUUCCGCAUUGGGCGAAAGCCUGACGGAGCAACGCCGCGUGAGUGAUGAAGGUCUUCGGAUCGUAAAACUCUGUUAUCAGGGAAGAACAUAUGUGUAAGUAACUGUGCACAUCUUGACGGUACCUAAUCAGAAAGCCACGGCUAACUACGUG